GCGAUGAAUCAGGCCGCCGCGCCGCUGUAAACCAGCAGUGAGGAAAGUCCGGGCUCCGCAGGGUAUGAUGCCGGGUAAUACCCGGGCGGGAAAUGAGAAUUUCCCGACAGCAGCGCAACAGAAAGUAAACCGCCGGCAAUGCCGGUAAGGGUGAAACGGUAGGGUAAGAGCCUACCGCGGAACCGGCAACGGUUCCGGCAUGGCAAGCCUCAUCAGGAGCAAAGUCAAACAACGGUGAACGACCCGUUUAUACCGUGGGUAGACUGCAUAGACACGCCCCGCAAGGGACGCGCUAGACAGAUGGCGGCAGGGAGCAAUCCUUCACAGAACCCGGCUUAUGAUUCAUCGCUUUU
This 353-nucleotide RNase P RNA is filed under the name Treponema sp. Its description in RNAcentral is "RNase P RNA component class A". It matches the Rfam family "Bacterial RNase P class A". Rfam says of the family: Ribonuclease P (RNase P) is a ubiquitous endoribonuclease, found in archaea, bacteria and eukarya as well as chloroplasts and mitochondria. Its best characterised activity is the generation of mature 5'-ends of tRNAs by cleaving the 5'-leader elements of precursor-tRNAs. Cellular RNase Ps are ribonucleoproteins. The record is from RNAcentral. Lineage: Bacteria; Pseudomonadati; Spirochaetota; Spirochaetia; Treponematales; Treponemataceae.